Molecule: long non-coding RNA, 757 nt
Filed under: Apteryx owenii (little spotted kiwi)
Lineage: Eukaryota; Metazoa; Chordata; Aves; Apterygiformes; Apterygidae
Description: lncRNA (ENSAOWG00000009205.1)
Source: RNAcentral
AUUCUGGUAUCUAAAAAUGCUGCUGCUUCUCUUUGAAUCUCUGCUGAGAUUCCCAAGAGCAAGUGCUUUGCUUUGGAGGGGUUCCUAUCAUACUGCCUGCUUAAACAUGCCUUGCCAUAUUGUACCUGAUGGGAAGCGGAGAGCAGUUCAGAGGUGUGCGGAGUUGAUGGGAAAAUAAACAACACAGCAAAGUCUGAGGCGUAGCUGGAGCUUCAGAACCGUGCAUAACUGUGUGCGUAACUUCAAUUGCAGUCAGACCGCUCUGAAUGACUAGAGCCCUGCUUAAGAAAAAAUAUUAUCUAUUUUUAAAAUGCCAAUAGAGGGGUAGUAGUUGCUCAUACUGCUGCUGAAGCACUUCUGUGUUUUGCAUUAGAAGGAGGACACUUACAAGGACCAAGAGGCAAGAUGCAUGGGAAAAACUGACACUUAAGAAAAGAAUAACUAUUACAUUUUGGAGCUUGCAGAGGAACAAGUGUUAGAUAAAUGCAUAUGACAAACAGACCCUGUUUGAUCUCUCUAAGAAGAUUUGACAAGUCAGACACACAGGAGCCAUAAAUUACCUGUAAUGGCAAAAUUACAUCAGUUAUAACCUUUUAAGUAGUUGUGCCUCAUACAGCAUCAAAUCAGAGAUAGCAAUCUAAGGAAAACCAGUCUCUCUAUAUACAUUUCCCUUGUAAUAUACAGCUACAAGAGUAAGCUGUGUAUGAUUUUCAUAAAACAUGAUAAUAAUCAAACGGUUCUAGGCUCCAUAGCGUAA